This is a long non-coding RNA of Micropterus salmoides (largemouth bass), 361 nucleotides long. RefSeq lists it as uncharacterized. The record is from RefSeq and is a predicted model, not a curated record. Lineage: Eukaryota; Metazoa; Chordata; Actinopteri; Centrarchiformes; Centrarchidae. The transcript has 3 exons.
UGCUCUAUGCCAUAUUCAAGGUUCUUAGAAGAACCUUGUUCUUAAGGGGGGGAUGUUACGACCCCUUCCUUCUCCUGCAGGAGGCUGCAGGCAGGGAGGCUGAUUGGGCUGCACCUGUGCAGCUCUCUUCAGAGCUUAUUUAGCCAGGACUGAUCAGUGUUUUGUCUUCCAACCAACGAUACUUCAACAAAACUACAAGCUCGUGCAGAUUGUUCUGCUCUGGACUACAUAAUGUUGGUUAUGCGUGUGGCUGAACUCCUCCUAAUUACUGUGAUUACUGUUCUUCUCAUCAGAGCUCGAGAGACUACCUGACAACAACACAGUGACCUACAGCAGCGUGAAAGCUUCCUCUUCUUCUGCU